UUAAAAUAAUCCAAUAUAUUAAAAUGCAAAAUGU
RNAcentral lists this unclassified non-coding RNA (34 nucleotides) under Leishmania tarentolae. RNAcentral's name for it is "guide RNA". The record is from RNAcentral. Lineage: Eukaryota; Euglenozoa; Kinetoplastea; Trypanosomatida; Trypanosomatidae.